Molecule: ribosomal RNA, 292 nt
Filed under: uncultured bacterium
Lineage: Bacteria
Description: partial 16S ribosomal RNA
Rfam family: Bacterial small subunit ribosomal RNA
Source: RNAcentral
GUGCCAGCAGCCGCGGUAAGACGAACCGAGCGAACGUUGUUCGGAAUCACUGGGCUUAAAGGGCGCGUAGGCGGGCUGUCAAGUCUGGGGUGAAAUCCCACGGCUCAACCGUGGAACUGCCUUAGAUACUGACGGCCUCGAGGGAGAUAGGGGCGAGCGGAACUGUGAGUGGAGCGGUGAAAUGCGUUGAUAUUCACAGGAACUCCGGUGGCGAAGGCGGCUCGCUGGAUCUUUUCUGACGCUGAGGCGCGAAAGCUAGGGGAGCAAACGGGAUUAGAAACCCCCGUAGUCC